UACGAAGGGGGCUAGCGUUGCUCGGAAUCACUGGGUGUAAAGGGUGCGUAGGCGGGUCUUUAAGUCAGGGGGGAAAUCCUGGAGCUCAACUCCAGAACUGCCUUUGAUACUGAAGAUCUUGAGUUCGGGAGAGGUGAGUGGAACUGCGAGUGUAGAGGUGAAAUUCGUAGAUAUUCGCAAGAACACCAGUGGCGAAGGCGGCUCACUGGCCCGAUACUGACGCUGAGGCACGAAAGCGUGGGGAGCAAACAGG
This 253-nucleotide ribosomal RNA is filed under the name uncultured bacterium. RNAcentral describes it as "partial 16S ribosomal RNA". It matches the Rfam family "Bacterial small subunit ribosomal RNA", at positions 524 to 776 of the family's 1533-position model. The record is from RNAcentral.